AAAAUUUUAAGUUAAUUUAAAAACUAUUAAUUUUCAAAAUUAAAAAUAUAAACAAAUUUAUAAAUCUUA
RNAcentral lists this transfer RNA (69 nucleotides) under Bombus ignitus. RNAcentral describes it as "tRNA-Trp". The record is from RNAcentral. Lineage: Eukaryota; Metazoa; Arthropoda; Insecta; Hymenoptera; Apidae.